GGUUGUAUAGUGUAGUUGGUUAUCACAUCGGAUUCUGAUUAAAUCAUCAGUUUCCUUUCCGGUGACCCCGGUUCGAGUCCGGGUACGGUUA
Diaporthe sp. PMI_573 is the source of this 91-nucleotide non-coding RNA. The record is from the annotation of a GenBank genome assembly. Lineage: Eukaryota; Fungi; Ascomycota; Sordariomycetes; Diaporthales; Diaporthaceae.